AACGUAGGACGCAAGCGUUAUCCGGAGUUACUGGGCGUAAAGCGCGGGCAGGCGGCUCGAUGCGUCUGAUGUGAAAUCUCCUCGCUCAACGGGGAGAGGCCAUUGGAAACGGUCGGGCUGGAGGGCAGUAGAGGUAGGCGGAAUUCCGGGUGGAGUGGUGAAAUGCGUAGAGAUCCGGAGGAACACCAGAGGCGAAGGCGGCCUACUGGGCUGCACCUGACACUGAGCCGCGAAAGCCAGGGGAGCGAACGGG
Molecule: ribosomal RNA, 253 nt
Filed under: uncultured bacterium
Lineage: Bacteria
Description: partial 16S ribosomal RNA
Rfam family: Bacterial small subunit ribosomal RNA
Source: RNAcentral